UACGUAGGUCCCGAGCGUUGUCCGGAUUUAUUGGGCGUAAAGCGAGCGCAGGCGGUUAGAUAAGUCUGAAGUUAAAGGCUGUGGCUUAACCAUAGUACGCUUUGGAAACUGUUUAACUUGAGUGCAAGAGGGGAGAGUGGAAUUCCAUGUGUAGCGGUGAAAUGCGUAGAUAUAUGGAGGAACACCGAUGGCGAAGGCAGCUCUCUGGCUUGUAACUGACGCUGAGGCUCGAAAGCGUGGGGAGCAAACAGG
This 252-nucleotide ribosomal RNA is filed under the name uncultured bacterium. RNAcentral describes it as "partial 16S ribosomal RNA". It matches the Rfam family "Bacterial small subunit ribosomal RNA", at positions 524 to 776 of the family's 1533-position model. The record is from RNAcentral.